GACGUAGGGCGCGAGCGUUGUCCGGAUUUAUUGGGCGUAAAGAGCUCGUAGGCGGCUUGUUGCGUCGGCUGUGAAAACCCGCGGCUUAACUGUGGGCCUGCUUCCGAUACGGGCGGGCUAGAGUUCGGCAGGGGAGACUGGAAUUCCUGGUGUAGCGGUGAAAUGCGCAGAUAUCAGGAGGAACACCGAUGGCGAAGGCAGGUCUCUGGGCCACUACUGACGCUGAGAAGCGAAAGCGUGGGGAGCGAACAGG
RNAcentral lists this ribosomal RNA (253 nucleotides) under uncultured bacterium. RNAcentral's name for it is "partial 16S ribosomal RNA". It matches the Rfam family "Bacterial small subunit ribosomal RNA", at positions 524 to 776 of the family's 1533-position model. The record is from RNAcentral.